CGCCAACUAACUUCAUCUAGAAUGUCUGACAUUCUAGAAUGUAUUUACGAAUCCAACUGUCCUGACAUUCUAGAAUGUAUUUACGAAUCCAACUGUCCUGACAUUCUAGAAUCAGUUUCUCAGAUGAGAUCAUGGCUACCAGGUUGGAGGUUUGGGAGAUAUUUCCAAAAUAUUGGUAAUAUAUGUAUCUAUCAUUUGUUAUACAUAGUUGCAGCUCCCAUAACCUGUAUAAAUCAAACAAACAUAUCAAAAUCCCAUUAAGGCUACAUUUCCAUUUAUAUAUAAAAAAAAUGCUUACUUGGAUCAGUGACAGCAAUGAGAGCAGAGUCUGAGAAGUUGCAGUUCCAAAGGUUUCUUCCAUUGGUUGCAUAGUAGUGGUUCAUGAUGGCAGAUGCAUGAUUCAUCGGUGUGUCUGGGUAGAAACACGCCCCACAUGAUUGAAUCAUCUUGCAACUAGGCAACAUGUUGCAAGCAUAUUCAAUGUUCAGCUGGAGGACACAUUCACUUGCUGAAGGCUUGGCAACACACCAAGUUGCUCCAUUAGCAUUCCCUCCUGCACAUUAUCCAAAAAAAAAAAAAAUUAGAAGGUAUCUAUUAUAAGUAAUAAAAUGAAAUUUAAAUUUAACUACCUGCAUUGAGAAGGAGAAAGACAAAACCCAGAAGGGAAACAGAGGAUUUGGUCAUGGUUUGUAGUGUGUGUGUUUGGAAACAAUGAAAGUGUAGUGUUUGGAAACAACGAAAGUGUAGUGUUUGGAAACAAUGAAAGUGUAGUGUUUGGAAACAAUGAAAGUGUAGUGUUUGGAAACAAUGAAAGUGUAGUGUUUGGAAACAACGAAAGUGUAGUGUUUGGAAACAAUGAAAGUGUAGUGUUUGGAAACAACGAAAGUGUAGUGUUUGGAAACAAUGAAAGUGUAGUGUUUGGAAACAACGAAAGUGUAGUGUUUGGAAACAAUGAAAGUGUAGUGUUUGGAAACAACGAAAGUGUAGUGUUUGGAAACAAUGAAAGUGUAGUGUUUGGAAACAACGAAAGUGUAGUGUUUGGAAACAAUGAAAGUGUAGUGUUUGGAAACAACGAAAGUGUAGUGUUUGGAAACAAUGAAAGUGUAGUGUUUGGAAACAACGAAAGUGUAGUGUUUGGAAACAAUGAAAGUGUAGUGUUUGGAAACAACGAAAGUGUAGUGUUUGGAAACAAUGAAAGUGUAGUGUUUGGAAACAAUGAAAGUGUCGUGUUUGGAAACAAUGAAAUACGAUUAAUGAACAUGGCUAAUGGCGACGCAUUUUAUAAACAGAAUUGUUGUUUGAUUAAUGAUUAAUUAGUGACAUCCACCCACCCACCCAUCCGCCAACUAACUUCAUCUAGAAUGUCUGACAUUCUAGAAUGUAUUUACGAAUCCAACUGUCCUGACAUUCUAGAAUCAGUUUUUCAGAUGAGAUCAUGGCUACCAGGUUGGAGGUUUGGGAGAUAUUUCCAAAAUAUUGGUAAUAUAUGUAUCUAUCAUUUGUUAUACAUAGUUGCAGCUCCCAUAACCUGUA
Molecule: long non-coding RNA, 1533 nt
Filed under: Cicer arietinum (chickpea)
Lineage: Eukaryota; Viridiplantae; Streptophyta; Magnoliopsida; Fabales; Fabaceae
Description: long non-coding RNA (CARI_LNC001824)
Source: RNAcentral